Molecule: long non-coding RNA, 4341 nt
Filed under: Homo sapiens (human)
Lineage: Eukaryota; Metazoa; Chordata; Mammalia; Primates; Hominidae
Description: HSALNT0290798
Source: RNAcentral
UCUCCAGCUCCUAACCACGAGUGAUCCGCCAGCCUCGGCCUACGGAGGUGCUGGGAUUGCAGACGGAGCCUCGUUCACUCAGUGCUCAAUGGUGCCCAGGCUGGAGUGCAGUGGCGUGAUCUCGGCUCGCUACAACAUCCACCUCCCAGCCGCCUGCCUUGGCCUCCCAAAGUGCCGAGAUUGCAGCCUCUGCCCGCCCGCCACCCGGUCUGGGAAGUGAGGAGCGUCUCUGCCUGGCCGCCCAUCGUCUGGGAUGUGAGGAGCCCAUCUGCCUGGCUGCCCAGUCUGGAAAGUGAGGAGCGUCUCUGCCCGGCCGCCAUCCCAUCUAGGAAGUGAGGAGCGCCUCUUCCCGGCCGCCAUCACAUCUAGGAAGUGAGGAGCGUCUCUGCCCGGCCGCCCAUCGUCUGAGAUGUGGGGAGCGCCUCUGCCCCACCGCCCCGUCUGGGAUGUGAGGAGCGCCUCUGCCCGGCCGCCCCGUCUGAGAAGUGAGGAGACCCUCUGCCUGGCAACCGCCCCGUCUGAGAAGUGAGGAGCCUCUCCGCCCGGCAGCCACCCGGUCUGGGAAGUGAGGAGCGUCUCCGCCCGGCAGCCACCCCGUCCGGGAGGGAGGUGGGGGGUCAGCCCCCGCCCGGCCAGCCGCCCCGUCCGAGAGGGAGGUGGGGGGCGCCUCUGCCCGGCCGCCCCUUCUGGGAAGUGAGGAGCCCCUCUGCCAGGCCACCACCCUGUCUGGGAGGUGUACCCAGCAGCUCAUUGAGAACGGGCCAUGAUGACAAUGGCGGUUUUGUGGAAUGGAAAGGGGGGAAAGGUGGGGAAAAGAUUGAGAAAUCGGAUGGUUGCCGUGUCUGUGUAGAAGGAAGUAGACAUGGGAGACUUUUCAUUUUGUUCUGUACUAAGAGAAAUUCUUCUGCCUUGGGAUCCUGUUGAUCUGUGACCUUACCCCCAACCCUGUGCUCUCUGAAACAUGUGCUGUGUCCACUCAGGGUUAAAUGGAUUAAGGGCGGUGCAAGAUGUGCUUUGUUAAACAGAUGCUUGAAGGCAGCAUGCUCUUUAAGAGUCAUCACCACUCCCUAAUCUCAAGUACCCAGGGACACAAACACUGCGGAAGGCCGCAGGGUCCUCUGCCUAGGAAAACCAGAGACCUUUGUUCACUUGUUUAUCUGCUGACCUUCCCUCCACUAUUGUCCUAUGACCCUGCCAAAUCCCCCUCUGGGAGAAACACCCAAGAAUGAUCAAUAAAAAAAUAAAUAAAUAAAUAAAAUAAAAUAAAAUAAAAAGAGAAACUACCUUUGCAAAAAUUAUAACAGUAAGAAAAUCAUGGCAGUAAAAGAGAUCUGAUCUAAUCCACACCCAUCUUGCCUUUCCCUUAAUUAUUCCUGGGCUUUGGGGCUGAGCUAACUUUGAGAGACAUUUAGUUUAUACUUUAAAUGAUAAUAGGCCUUCCCCAAAACUCAACUGUCUUUGUUAAGCCAAUGAAAGGUCAUCAGGCUGUGGGAGGAGAGGAAUCUGAAUUCUGCUAAGGUGAAGAAAUUGUUUAAUUGCCAGCCACUCCUGCAGGUAACACCACUAUUGUAGAUUGGCCUUUUGAGUAUCUUUUCAGUUUUUGGAAGUCUGAAACCAAUGGCUCCACCCGUACCUGGCUCUGCCUCUACCCACCGACAUUGCUCCUGUGGUCCCACUCAGAAGUAGUUCAGCACUCAGGACAGCUUCCACCCCCUAUGAUUUCAUCUCUGUCCCAACCAAUCAGCAGCAAGCCUAGCCACCGCAGCCCUUCCUCGAAAGUGCCUUUGGAAAACUCCUAAACUACCAGCUUUGGAUGAGAUUUAUUUGAGUCCUAAUUCUGUCUGUCACAUUGUGUGACCGGCCUCAUGUCUAUUGUACUCUUUCGUUACUGCAAUGCUGUGGUCUUUGUUUAUGCAGCAGGCAGGAAGAAUCCAUUGGGUGGUUACAUCAUUAACCCUUACAUUUUUAUGUUCUAGUUUCAGAAAAUUCUCUUCUCUACCCCCGGACCAUAUUGGGGGAACCCACCCUCAAUAUUUCAACAUAGGUUCUUUCUAUUUUCCAUAAGUGUAGGCCGGCUGAGAAAUAAAGAGAGACAGUACAAAGAGAGGAAUUUUACAGCUAGGCUGCUGGAGGUGACAUCACAUAUCAGUAGGACCGUGAUGCCUGCCUAAGUCUCAGACCAGCAAGUUUUUAUUAAGGGUUUCAAAAGGGGAGGGGGUGUAAGAACAGGGAGUAGGUACAAAGAUCACAUGCUUCAAAGGGCAAAAAGCAGAACCACUAAUAAGGGUCUAACAAAGAUCACGUGCUUCUGAGGGAACAGCUAGAAUUACCAUAUGAUCCAGAAAUUUCACUUCUGGGCGUACACCCCAAAGAAUUGACAGCAGGGACUAGAACAGCCUGUGAAUACCUAUGUUCGUAGCAGCCUUAUUCACAAUAGCCAAAAAGGGGAAACAACUCAAAUGUCUGUUGACAGAUCAAUGGAUAAACAAAAUGGGAAUAUACAUACAAUGGAAUAUUAUUCUGCCUGAAAAAGGAAGACAAUUCUUUUUUUUUCUUUUUUUUCUUUUUUUUUUUUUUUGAGAUGGAGUCUUGCUCAGUUGCCCAGGCUGGAGUGCAGUGGCGCAAUCUCGGCUCACUGCAAGCUCCACCUCCCAGGUUCACGCCAUUCUCCUGCUUCAGCCUCCCGAGUAGCUGGGACUACAGGCGCCCGCCACCAUGUCCGGCUAAUUUUUUUUUGUAUUUUUAAUAGAGAUGGGGUUUCACCGUGUUAGCCAGGAUGGUCUUGAUCUCCUGACCUCGUGAUCCGCCCGCCGCAGCCUCCCAAAGUGCUGGGAUUACAGGCGUGAGCCACUGUGCCUGGCCAAAAGGAAGACAAUUCUAACAUAUGCUACAACAUGAAGGAACUUUGAAAACAUUAUGGUCAGUAAAUUAAAUAAGCUACAAGACACAAGAGGACAAAUAUGACACAAGAGAAUAAAUAUUGUAUGAUUCUACUUAUAUGUGUUACCCAAAGUAGUCAAUUGCAUAGAGAUAGAAACAGAAAAUAGAAUGGUGGUUGCAGGGUCUGGAAAGAGAGGAGGAGUGCAGAGUUAUUAUUAUUAUCAUCAUUAUUUUCAGACGGAGUUUCAGUCUUGUUGCCCAGGCUGGAGUGCAGUGGCGCCAUUUCGGCUCACUGCAACCUUUGCCUCCCGAGUUCAAGUGAUUCUCCUGCCUCAGCCUCCUGAGUAGCUGGGAUUACAGGCGCCCACCACCAUGCCCAGCUAAGUUUUGUAUUUUUAGUAGAGACAGGGUUUCAUUAUGUUGGCCAGGCUGGUCUCAAACUCCUGACCUCAGGUGAUCCACCUGCCUCGGCCUCCCAAAGUGCUGGGAUUACAGGCGUGAGCCACUGUGCCUGGCCCAGAGUUAUUGUUUUAUGGGUAGAGAGUUUCAGUUUUGCAAGAUGAAAGGAAUUCUAUAGACGGGUGGUGGUGAAGAUUGUACUUAAUGCCGCUGAACUGUACUCCUAAAAAGGGUUAAAAUAGUAACUUUUAUGUCAUGUGUAUUUUACUACAAAAAAAAAAAAAAAAAGAGAGAGAGAGAGAGACUGGGCACAGCGGCUCAUGCCUGUAAUCUCAACACUUUGGAAGGCUAAGGUGGGAGGAUCACUUAAGCCCAGGAAUUCAAGACCACCAGCCUGGAUGAUAUAGUGAGACCUUGUCUCUAAAAAAAAAUUAAAUUAAAAAAAAAGUGAUGGGAUACUUCUGAGAUUAGGUUGCAGAAAGACGAUGACUUCUACCUUGCAAGCUCUCAUCCUCCCUAACUUACCCUGAGGGAAAACAGUUGCCAUAAUGUAAGCUGCCCCGUGGAGAGGUCCACAAGGCAAGGAAAUGAUGCCUCAAGUCAACAGCCAUGCGGUGAGUUUGGAAGUGGAUUCUUCUCAAGCCAAGCCUUGAAAUGACUGCAGUCUGUGAUGACACCUUCAUUGCAAUCUUGUGAAAGACUCUGAACCAACUCUCAAUCUUGAGAGAGCCUCGUCUUCUGGACGAGCUAAGCUGCACCCAGAUUUCUGACCUACAGAAACCGUGAGUAAAACGUGUGUUGUUUCAAGCUGCUAAAUUUUGGAAUAAUUUGUUAUGCAUCAAUAAAUAACAAAUACAGCUGUUACACUUUCUAUAAAAGUGUGUUAUUGAAUAUACUUUUAUAUAAUACUAUAAAACUUUUUUUAAUUUGGCAAUCUAUUUUGACACUUACCUUUAACAAAACAUAACUUUUCUUUUUCUUUCUUUCUUUUUUUUUUUCUUGAGAUAGGGCCUUUCUCUGUCGCCCAGGCUAGAGUGCAGUGGUAAAACCAUGGCUCACUAC